CCCUUAGAUGUCCUGGGCCGCACGCGCGCUACACUGAGUGUCUGAGAUACGAGUCUGCCAGGUCCGGCAAGGUCUAGGUAAUCGCUAAAAGACACAUCAUGCUUGGGAUAGAUUAUUGCAAAUAUUAAUCUUGAACGAGGAAUUCCUAGUAAGCGCAAGUCAACAGCUUGCGUUUAUUACGUCCCUGCCCUUUGUACACACCGCCCGUCGCUACUACUGAUUGGAUGUUUAAGCGAGGUUCUCGAACUGCUAGCGACUUAGCUUCGGUGAGGUCGCAGUGUGGGAAGUGAACCUAGCUUUGGUGUCUAGAGGAAGUAAAAGUCGUAACA
RNAcentral lists this ribosomal RNA (329 nucleotides) under uncultured eukaryote. RNAcentral describes it as "partial 18S ribosomal RNA". It matches the Rfam family "Eukaryotic small subunit ribosomal RNA", at positions 1470 to 1796 of the family's 1831-position model. The record is from RNAcentral.